GGGGCCGAUAUGGAUUCGACGCUGGUUACAAAGUCCAAGGUGCAUGUCGUGAGGGUAGCCAAUCACGUUAAUCCAAAGCUGCAAACUAUACAGUUGCCAAUGAUGACAACUACGGUGCCCAAUUAGCUGCGUAAGCAGCUUUUGAAAGCACUACCUAGUGGUUCGCCGCUAGCGGUCUAUAACAAGGUGCCAGUACCGCGUUAGAGCCCCCCGGCUCCACCA
Molecule: transfer-messenger RNA, 222 nt
Filed under: Gammaproteobacteria bacterium
Lineage: Bacteria; Pseudomonadati; Pseudomonadota; Gammaproteobacteria
Rfam family: transfer-messenger RNA
About the family: Bacterial tmRNA, also known as 10Sa RNA or SsrA, is named for its dual tRNA and mRNA-like properties. Its role is to liberate the mRNA from a stalled ribosome.
Source: RNAcentral